UUAAUAGAAGCUAUUUAGCGCUUUAUUGUUAUUAAAGAGAUAGGGAUAGGUGUCUCCUGUUAAG
This 64-nucleotide transfer RNA is filed under the name Rhynchothorax sp. JZ-2022. RNAcentral describes it as "tRNA-Asn". Lineage: Eukaryota; Metazoa; Arthropoda; Pycnogonida; Pantopoda; Tanystylidae. The record is from RNAcentral.